AGUGAACGCUGGCGGUAGGCCUAACACAUGCAAGUCGAACGGCAGCACAGUAAGAGCUUGCUCUUACGGGUGGCGAGUGGCGGACGGGUGAGGAAUACAUCGGAACCUACUUUUUCGUGGGGGAUAACGUAGGGAAACUUACGCUCAUACCGCAUACGCCCUACGGGUGAAAGCAGGGGAUCUUCGGACCUUGCGCGAUUGAAUGAGCCGAUGUCGGAUUAGCUAGUUGGCGGGGUAAAGACCCACCAAGGCGACGAUCCGUAGCUGGUCUGAGAGGAUGAUCGGCCACACUGGAACUGAGACACGAUCCAGACGCCUACGGGAGGCAGCAGUGGGGAAUAUUGGACAAUAGGCGCAAGCCUGAUCCAGCCAUACCGCGUGGGUGAAGAAGACCUUCGGGUUGUAAAGCCCUUUUGUUGGGAAAGAAAAGCAGCAGGUUAAUACCCCGCUGUUCUGACGGUACCCAAAGAAUAAGCACCGGCUAACUUCGUG
Molecule: ribosomal RNA, 492 nt
Filed under: uncultured bacterium
Lineage: Bacteria
Description: partial 16S ribosomal RNA
Rfam family: Bacterial small subunit ribosomal RNA
Source: RNAcentral